UAUCUCUACCGUGCAGGACACGGAUCUGUGUAAGCCGCGUCACACCAUCGACUGCCUGAAGAAGUGACAUCACGUCCGCGGCGUUGACGUCGCCACCGACGAGACAGUGGCGCGCUCUGUGAGCAAAGAGCCAUCGUUGACAAGGUCGAGCCGGGAGGUCGCAUGAUGCUCCACCUAUCACAGGAGAGCAUGUUGAGCGAAUGCAGCGUGUCGAGUGCUUGCAGCGCCGCCAGUGGCCAGUCGGUGAACAAUGAGAGCGGCAAGAAGAAGAAGAAGAAGAAGAGCUGGUUUGUUCAGCAAGCGUUCAACCACCGUAAGAAGAAUAAGAAUGGCUCGGUGUCGGAUGCUGAGGAUGGAGUGAGCAUGACGAGUGAUGGGGUCGGCCCCCAACUCACCGAUGUGUGUGCGCAACAACCGCAGUGGCUCGCUCAAGCUCACCCACUCAUCGUCACUGUCGCCUGGAGCCAUCCAUGGACGAGGAGGAGGUCGAACAAGAGCUGCGCAGAUACUUCACGAACAUAGCAGACGAUGAACCUGAGGAGAGAGGUAAUGACUUACCUCUCCCAGCAGGUUGUCGAGGAUGCGGAGCAGCUCCAGGCGAUGGCUCCUUACCAGACCUGCA
Priapulus caudatus is the source of this 622-nucleotide long non-coding RNA. RefSeq lists it as uncharacterized. NCBI's taxonomy places the organism in Eukaryota, Metazoa, Priapulida, Priapulimorpha, Priapulimorphida, Priapulidae. The transcript is spliced from 5 exons. The record is from RefSeq and is a predicted model, not a curated record.